Molecule: long non-coding RNA, 183 nt
Organism: Sycon ciliatum
Lineage: Eukaryota; Metazoa; Porifera; Calcarea; Leucosolenida; Sycettidae
Exons: 3
Source: RefSeq, a predicted model, not a curated record
AGCUAAAAAACAAAAUCAGGGUGGCGAUGAUCAGUUCUUGAGCUUCGAACGGGCAGAAAGCUAAAAAACAAAAUCAGGGUGGCGAUGAUCAGUUCUUGAGCUUCGAACGGGCAGAAAGCUAAACAACAAGAUAUGGGUGGCGAUGGUCAGUUCUUGAGCUUCGAACGGGCAGAAAGGUGAGAA